Malus domestica (apple) is the source of this 467-nucleotide non-coding RNA. NCBI's taxonomy places the organism in Eukaryota, Viridiplantae, Streptophyta, Magnoliopsida, Rosales, Rosaceae. The record is from RefSeq and is a predicted model, not a curated record.
AAAAAAAAAAAAACUAAUGAAAUAGGGAUCGUGGUGAAUCACUCAAAAGAUGGAAACUGAAAAAAUUGCAACACGUUCAAUGUAAAGCAGUUUCUUCAAAUUGAACUGCCAAUAUCUCCUUCCAUAAAUAUUUUCCCUGAACUUCUGUAAAUUUUAAAUUUUAAAUUUCUUUUAUGAUCAACUUUUAGAGUUUUGGUUUGCAGACGACCAUACUAUUACAGAUGGGGUUUUCGAUUUCUUCAUCAGAUAAGGAAAGUGGUAUCUCAAGACUUUUUACUUCUUCUGAAGAAUGGCGUCGGCAACAAUAUUUCUAAAUUUUCAUAUUUUUCAGAUCCCUUUUUUGAUCAAAUGGGUGGUUGAACUUUGAUCCAAAGGUGUUGCUACAUCGGCAAUUCGACUGCAGGCGGAUGUUGCAUAUUUUCAAGAAGAUUAAGCAAGACCCAUAAUUGGACGGAAAGUAUAAAGAC